UACGUAGGGGGCUAGCGUUGUCCGGAAUCAUUGGGCGUAAAGCGCGUGUAGGCGGUCCGGUAAGUCCGCUGUGAAAGUCGAGGGCUCAACCCUCGAAUGCCGGUGGAUACUGUCGGGCUAGAGUACGGAAGAGGCGAGUGGAAUUCCUGGUGUAGCGGUGAAAUGCGUAGAUAUCUGGAGGAAUACCGGUGGCGAAGGCGGCAUCCUGGACCAUUACUGACGCUGAGGCGCGAAAGCUAGGGGAGCAAACGGG
RNAcentral lists this ribosomal RNA (253 nucleotides) under uncultured bacterium. RNAcentral's name for it is "partial 16S ribosomal RNA". It matches the Rfam family "Bacterial small subunit ribosomal RNA", at positions 524 to 776 of the family's 1533-position model. The record is from RNAcentral.